CCGGUCCAAGUCAAUUCCCCCAGAUGAAAACUGAGCUCUAAUUACUAUUCUUUGGUCCCAAAUUGAAGGUCCAGAUUGAGAGAAACAGGCUGCUGUAUAUAUAAGAAAUUUAUUUUUGGACCAGCAAAAGAACUACUAAAACUCAUUUAUCAAUUAGGUUGAUGCAGCAUUUUUUUUUUUCUUUCUUUCUUGUGGAGUUUACUUGCAAGUAUCCACUGUAAAAUUCUAGAGGUGAGAAGUAUUGUAGCAGGGCACCACAUGUAAGAUAUAAUGCCAAUUAAAUGAAGAAUUUUUCUAUUAAAAAAAAAAAUCUGCUGCAUCAACCUAAUUGAUAAAUGAGUUUUAGUAGUUCUUUUGCUGGUCCAAAAAUAAAUUUCUUAUAUAUACAGCAGCCUGUUUCUCUCAAUCUGGACCUUCAAUUUGGGACCAAAGAAUAGUAAUUAGAGCUCAGUUUUCAUCUGGGGGAAUUGACUUGGACCGGUAAAGUUGUGUGUUGAUUCCCUGUUCAGAUUCUGGCCAAAACCCAUCUGAACAAUAGUUUGGAGGUCAUCCUCACAGAAUAAUGAAUACUGAGGACCACUAUGGUUAAAUCCUUCAAGUGGGGGUAACUGCAUAUUAAGGCUUUGGCAUAGUCCAGUAUCUAAUGCGUCAGCAGAGCAUUGGGUCAUUGUCCCACUAGAAAUGUUGCUAUGUAGUGCUGGAGUUUGCUGGGGUUGGUGUUGGUGGCCAAAAAUGGCUGAUGCCGAGGAAUCUAAUGGGAAUAUUGGAUGUGGCAAUUGGUGGGUUGAUUGAAAUAUAUCUUUUGAAUUGAGAGUAUCCAUGUUGAAAUCCAGCCUGGUAUUCACAGAAGCCAACUUCAUGGAGAGAAACUCCACUUGGCGUUGCAAUGACUGCACAUAGUUUAUAAUUUCAUCAAGCAUAAGGGCCUUGCCAGUUACCUUACUGCAACUCGGUACAAGAUCUUGGAGGAGCUUCAUUCUUUCACUAAUUUUCUCUCUUCGAACUCUUUCAGCCAGGCUGUGACUGUCAGUAGCUUGACCCCUUCUUGCUCUAACAUGAAUGUAGUCCUUAGGGGGCUCUGGAGGCUUUGAGUUGUUAUUCUUGGUUUGUUUCUCAUCCCCACUUCCCUUCUGAUCUUCCUCUGCUUUAACAGCACUCUUUUCAUUUCCAUUACCUUCAUUUCGCUUGGUUCGCUUUGUGUUUGAAUUGUCAUCAAUUUCUGCAUCCUUAGCUGAAUUGGCUGGUGGGGUUGAUGCUGGCCGCGAUUCUUUUGCUUUUCCCUUGGAAACUGCUUUUCUUUUCUUGGAAUUCAGCUCGCUGGAGACCUUCAAAGCAGUUUCCCCAUUUGGGGUUUGUUCAGAUACGGAGGACUCCUGAGAAGAAUUGGCCAAUUCAUAUCGAUCCUGCAAUGGAGAACUCUUGUUCCCUUUUUGAGAUCCAAUUACCUUGAAAGAAGGACUACUGGAAACACGAGGCAANNNNNNNNNNCUUGCCAUUUCCCAUUAAUGGAUUGCAUUUAUAAGCAAAUUCUGCAUUAUUUAGCCCAAACUGGCUGCUUCUACCAUUGAAACUCCUUGUGCCAAAGCAAGAAAACCUUGCAGCUCUCUCGGCGAAUCCGGGAUCAGCCGUGAAUUCUGCCACACUAGAAUUCAAAGCCAUCGGUUUCCCCAAACUGGGAAAAUUCAAAAUUUCCUUGGGAAAUUGAUCCAAUGGAGGCAAAUUCAGCUUGGGGGGUGAAUUCAAAGGAGUACCAUAACGGGAAGUGUUGGUGCUGUUAUUUCCAGGGGUAAUAUAUGAACCUUCCAACAUAGGCGAGUUGUUGUUGGUGGUGGUGCCGCUGCCAAUAUUUCCUAAUUUUCCUAUGAGUUCCCUAAUCAUAAAGCUCUCGCUGGAUAUGUUAGAAUUGGAGGCCGCCGGCGAGGACACCAUUGAACUCAGGGCAGAGUCAAAGUUGAGGCCUUGAUCCGUUGACUUUUCCCAAUUAGGAGUGGAGAAGCAAUCAGUUGACUGCCCAGCUGAGCAAUUAAGUUCAUUAGCUUGCAUGUCCAUGGCAGAAGAGAGUGCGUGCCAAGUUGAGGCUGAGGUUGGCUCAAAGUCCAAUGGCGGUGGAGGGAUUCCUGCAUUCAGAAAGAACUCACCCUCCAUAAUCAAUUGUAUUAGCCUAAAAUUGGAGAUAACAAUAAAAACCCAACAAAAGAAUUAGUAAAUAGGCUCCAAAAAGCUUCAGAAAACUUGGGAUUCUUACAAUCUAAGUGAAAUGAGCAUAGAUAAAGAGAAAGUGUAUGAAAG
Molecule: unclassified non-coding RNA, 2289 nt
Filed under: Hevea brasiliensis (rubber tree)
Lineage: Eukaryota; Viridiplantae; Streptophyta; Magnoliopsida; Malpighiales; Euphorbiaceae
Source: RNAcentral